This 119-nucleotide ribosomal RNA is filed under the name Pteropus alecto (black flying fox). The record is from RNAcentral. Lineage: Eukaryota; Metazoa; Chordata; Mammalia; Chiroptera; Pteropodidae.
GUCUACAGCCAUGCCACCUUGAACAUACUCAAUCUCGUCUGAUCUCGGAAGCUAAGCAGGGUUGGCCCUGGUUAGUACUUGGAUGGGAGACCACCUAGGAAGACCAGGUACUAUAGGCG